GAGCAUCAGGUGCCUGCUGGGCCGUGGGAUUGGAGGACUCAUUAACAUACGAUGAUGCUUCCGAACAUGUAAGGACCGCCAGCAGUAGUAACCAGUUCCAUAAACGAAAAGCCAUAAACAUUGCAGGACCCAUGCCUGUGCGACUCUGACUUCGCACCUGGGUCCUGAUGUAUGCCACGCCUCUGCGGCACGGGUUUCUGGAACUAAACCAUCCUACCAGGCAAGAACCUUGAAUGAGGCACUUCAGCAAGUUGACACUUCAGGGAGGCCUGACUAAGCCAAUGUCCUGUACUGUCAGUGUCCCUUCAAUCCCAGAUUUUAGAGUCAAU
RNAcentral lists this long non-coding RNA (329 nucleotides) under Mus caroli (Ryukyu mouse). RNAcentral describes it as "lncRNA (MGP_CAROLIEiJ_G0002325.1)". The record is from RNAcentral. Lineage: Eukaryota; Metazoa; Chordata; Mammalia; Rodentia; Muridae.